RNAcentral lists this ribosomal RNA (253 nucleotides) under uncultured bacterium. RNAcentral describes it as "partial 16S ribosomal RNA". It matches the Rfam family "Bacterial small subunit ribosomal RNA", at positions 524 to 776 of the family's 1533-position model. The record is from RNAcentral.
UACAGAGGGUGCAAGCGUUAAUCGGAAUUACUGGGCGUAAAGCGUGCGCAGACGGUUGCGUAAGUCAGAUGUGAAAGCCCCGGGCUCAACCUGGGAAUUGCAUUUGAGACUGCAUGGCUGGAGUGCGGCAGAGGGGGAUGGAAUUCCGCGUGUAGCAGUGAAAUGCGUAGAUAUGCGGAGGAACACCGAUGGCGAAGGCAAUCCCCUGGGCCUGCACUGACGCUCAUGCACGAAAGCGUGGGGAGCAAACAGG